AACGUAGGUUCCGAGCGUUCUCCGGAUUUACUGGGCGUAAAGCGCGUUCAGGCGUUUUGGCAAGUCGGGCAUGAAAUCUCUCGGCUCAACCGGGAGAGGUUGUCCGAUACUGCUGGACUUGAGGGCAGUAGAGGGUGGUGGAAUUCCGGGUGUAGUGGUGAAAUGCGUAGAUAUCCGGAGGAACACCAGUGGCGAAAGCGGCCACCUGGACUGCACCUGACGCUGACACGCGAAAGCUAGGGGAGCGAGCGGG
This 253-nucleotide ribosomal RNA is filed under the name uncultured bacterium. RNAcentral's name for it is "partial 16S ribosomal RNA". It matches the Rfam family "Bacterial small subunit ribosomal RNA", at positions 524 to 776 of the family's 1533-position model. The record is from RNAcentral.